GACGAACGCUGGCGGCGUGCCUAAUACAUGCAAGUUGAGCGCUGAAGGUUGGUACUUGUACCAACUGGAUGAGCAGCGAACGGGUGAGUAACGCGUGGGGAAUCUGCCUCUGAGCGGGGGACAACAUUUGGAAACGAAUGCUAAUACCGCAUAAAAACUUUAAACACAAGUUUUAAGUUUGAAAGAUGCAAUUGCAUCACUCAAAGAUGAUCCCGCGUUGUAUUAGCUAGUUGGUGAGGUAAAGGCUCACCAAGGCGAUGAUACAUAGCCGACCUGGGAGGGUGAUCGGCCACAUUGGGACUGAGACACGGCCCAAACUCCUACGGGAGGCAGCAGUAGGGAAUCUUCGGCAAUGGACGAAAGUCUGACCGAGCAACGCCGCGUGAGUGAAGAAGGUUUUCGGAUCGUAAAACUCUGUUGGUAGAGAAGGACGUUGGUGAGAGUGGAAAGCUCAUCAAGUGACGGUAACUACCCAGAAAGGGACGGCUAACUACGUG
RNAcentral lists this ribosomal RNA (497 nucleotides) under uncultured bacterium. RNAcentral's name for it is "partial 16S ribosomal RNA". It matches the Rfam family "Bacterial small subunit ribosomal RNA", at positions 28 to 507 of the family's 1533-position model. The record is from RNAcentral.